UUGGGCGUAAAGGGUGCGUAGACGGCGCGGAAAGUCCGGCGUGAAAGACAGGGGCUCAACCUCUGGACUGCGUUGGAUACUUCCGUGCUUGAGGACUGGAGGGGAGACUGGAAUUCACGGUGUAGCAGUGAAAUGCGUAGAUAUCGUGAGGAAGACCGGUGGCGAAGGCGAGUCUCUGGACAGAUCCUGACGCUGAGGCACGAAGGCUGGGGGAGCGAACAGGAUUAGAUACCCUGGUAGUCCCAGCAGUAAACGAUGUGAGCUUGAUGUGGGGGGAUUCGACCCCUUCCGUGUCGAAGCUAACGCGAUAAGCUCACCGCCUGAGGAGUACGGCCGCAAGGCUAAAACUCAAAGAAAUUGACGGGGACCCGCACAAGCGGUGGAGUAUGUGGCUUAAUUCGAUGCAACGCGAAGAACCUUACCUGGCCUUGACAUGCAUUGUGUCGUCGGUGAAAGCCGGCUAGUCCUGGAAACAGGACGCUUUGCACAGGUGCUGCAUGGCCGUCGUCAGCUCGUGUCGUGAGAUGUUGGGUUAAGUCCCGCAACGAGCGCAACCCUUGUGGUCAGUUACUAACCGGCUUAGCCGGAGGACUCUGGCCAGACUGCCCUGUCAAACGGGGAGGAAGGUGGGGACGACGUCAAGUCAGUAUGGCCCUUAUGGCCAGGGCUGCACACGUACUACAAUGCCCGGUAUAAUGUGAACCGAAACCGCGAGGUGGAGGAAAUCGCUCUUGAAAACCGGGCCCAGUUCGGAUUGGAGUCUGCAACUCGACUCCAUGAAGUCGGAAUCGCUAGUAAUGGCGUAUCAGCAACGACGCCGUGAAUACGUUCCCGGGUCUUGUACACACCGCCCGUCACACCAUGGAAGUCUCCUGUACCCGAAGCACGUGCGCCAACCUUUCAGGAGGCAGCGUUCGAAGGUAUGGGAGUAACUGGGAUGAAGUC
This 945-nucleotide ribosomal RNA is filed under the name uncultured organism. RNAcentral describes it as "bacterial SSU rRNA". It matches the Rfam family "Bacterial small subunit ribosomal RNA", at positions 554 to 1487 of the family's 1533-position model. The record is from RNAcentral.